AACGAACGCUGGCGGCAUGCCUAACACAUGCAAGUCGAACGAUGCCUUCGGGCAUAGUGGCGCACGGGUGCGUAACGCGUGGGAAUCUGCCUUUCGGUUCGGAAUAACUCAGGGAAACUUGAGCUAAUACCGGAUAACGUCGCAAGACCAAAGAUUUAUCACCGAAAGAUGAGCCCGCGUAGGAUUAGCUAGUUGGUGAGGUAAAGGCUCACCAAGGCGACGAUCCUUAGCUGGUCUGAGAGGAUGAUCAGCCACACUGGGACUGAGACACGGCCCAGACCCCGAGGGGGAGAAGCGGUGGGGAAUAGGGAAAAGGGGGGGAAGGCCUAACCCAGAAUUCCGGGGGGAGUAAGGAAGGCGUUGGGGUUGAAAGGUUUUUUUACCGGGAAAAAAAAGGGGGGGACGGGGGAAAAAGGCCCCGGCAACCCCCGUG
This 433-nucleotide ribosomal RNA is filed under the name uncultured bacterium. Its description in RNAcentral is "partial 16S ribosomal RNA". It matches the Rfam family "Bacterial small subunit ribosomal RNA", at positions 29 to 507 of the family's 1533-position model. The record is from RNAcentral.